Molecule: ribosomal RNA, 179 nt
Filed under: Mesorhizobium sp. M8A.F.Ca.ET.167.01.1.1
Lineage: Bacteria; Pseudomonadati; Pseudomonadota; Alphaproteobacteria; Hyphomicrobiales; Phyllobacteriaceae
Description: partial 16S ribosomal RNA
Rfam family: Bacterial small subunit ribosomal RNA
Source: RNAcentral
UUAAGUGAAGAGUUUGAUCUUGGCUCCGAGUGAACGCUGGCGGUAGGCCUAACACAUGCAAGUCGAGCGGCAGCACAGGAGAGCUUGCUCUCUGGGUGGCGAGUGGCGGACGGGUGAGGAAUACAUCGGAAUCUACUCUGUCGUGGGGGAUAACGUAGGGAAACUUACGCUAAUACCGC